GACUUGACUUACAAGUAUAUGACUGUCAGCAGCAUUGGGUACAUUCCUGAUCGAGAAAUAAUUGAUGUGAUAGGGAUCUUCUACAAAAAAAAGAAGAAGGUGAUAUCGCUGCAGUCCUAUACCAAAGAAGAGCAUAGUAUUAAAAUUUUGGACGACAAAGGCAAGAAGAUGGAAGUGGGUUGCUGAACAAUUGAACAGUUCCUGCAAAAAAUGAAAAUAGAAGAGUUGAAGACC
Long non-coding RNA from Daphnia pulicaria, 234 nucleotides. RefSeq lists it as uncharacterized. The record is from RefSeq and is a predicted model, not a curated record. Lineage: Eukaryota; Metazoa; Arthropoda; Branchiopoda; Diplostraca; Daphniidae. The transcript has 3 exons.